AACGUACGCUGGCGGCACGCCUAACACAUGCAAGUCGAACGAAGUAGCAAUACUUAGUGGCAGACGGGUGAGUAACAUGUAGGUAUCUGCCCUUUGGCCUGGAAUAACACGAGGAAACUUGUGCUAAUACCGGAUAAGUCUUUACGGAGAAAGCUUUAUGCACCAUUGGAUGAGCCUGCACUUGAUUAGUUUGUUGGUGGGGUAAUGGCCUACCAAGACUGUGAUCAAUAGCUGAUUUGAGAGGAUGAUCAGCCACAUUGGGACUGAGACACGGCCCAAACUCCUACGGGAGGCAGCAGUGGGGAAUCUUGCACAAUGGAGGAAACUCUGAUGCAGCGAUGCCGCGUGAGUGAAGAAGGCCCUUGGGUUGUAAAGCUCUUUCGUCGGGGAAGAAAAUGACUGUACCCGAAUAAGAAGGUCCGGCUAACUUCGUGCCAGCAGCCGCGGUAAUACGAAGGGACCUAGCGUAGUUCGGAAUUACUGGGCUUAAAGAGUUCGUAGGUGGUUGAAAAAGUUAGUGGUGAAAUCCCAGAGCUUAACUCUGGAACUGCCAUUAAAACUUUUCAGCUAGAGUAUGAUAGAGGAAAGCAGAAUUUCUAGUGUAGAGGUGAAAUUCGUAGAUAUUAGAAAGAAUACCAAUUGCGAAGGCAGCUUUCUGGAUCAUUACUGACACUGAGGAACGAAAGCAUGGGUAGCGAAGAGGAUUAGAUACCCUCGUAGUCCAUGCCGUAAACGAUGUGUGUUAGACGUUGGAAAUUUAUUUUCAGUGUCGCAGGGAAACCGAUAAACACACCGCCUGGGGAGUACGACCGCAAGGUUAAAACUCAAAAUGAAUUGACGGGGACCCGCACAAAGUAGUGGAGCAUGUGGUUUAAUUCGAAGAUACGCGCAGAACCCUUACCAACACUUGACAUGUUUCGUCGCGACUCUAAGAGAUUAGAGUUUUCGGUUUCGGCCGGACGAAAACAACAGGUGCUGCAUGGCUGUCGUCAGCUCGUGUCGUGAGAUGUUGGGUUAAGUCCCGCAACGAGCGCAACCCUCACUUUUAGUUGCCAUCAUUAAGUUGGGCGACUCUGAAAGAAACUGCCAGUGAUAAGCUGGAGGAAGGUGGGGAUGACGUCGAAGCCCUCGAUGGCCCUUACGUGUUGGGCUACGCGACGUGCUACAAUGGUAUCUACGAACGGGAAGCGAGAACUGCGAAGUUAAGCAAACCCCUAAAAGAUACUCUCAGUUUCGGAUUGCACUCUGCAACUCGAGUGCAUGAAAGCUGGAAUUACUAGUAAUCGUGGAAUCAGCGUGCCACGGUGAAUGCGUUUCCCGGGUCU
This 1325-nucleotide ribosomal RNA is filed under the name uncultured bacterium. RNAcentral describes it as "bacterial SSU rRNA". It matches the Rfam family "Bacterial small subunit ribosomal RNA", at positions 28 to 1381 of the family's 1533-position model. The record is from RNAcentral.